This is a long non-coding RNA of Aphidius gifuensis, 379 nucleotides long. RefSeq lists it as uncharacterized. The transcript is spliced from 2 exons. Lineage: Eukaryota; Metazoa; Arthropoda; Insecta; Hymenoptera; Braconidae. The record is from RefSeq and is a predicted model, not a curated record.
UCUAAAAAAUAAGUAUUAUCAGUGAUAAAUUUCAAAUAAUUAUAUAACAAUUAAUAUUAUAAUUUGCAGUUGAUGGGUAUAUCAUAUUCAGUCCAGAGAGACUUGAUUUUUGUAAAAAGGAAAAGUGAGGUUAAACCCAGAGUUGACAGUCUACAUUUUUGUUGUUGAUAUGUCAUAUAUAUACCAAUUUUAACAAUGGGUCGUUCUGAAUCUGAGGUUUGGAAACAUUUUAAUGUUGUUGCAAGUCCUGAAUGCAAAUACAAGACAGGAAGUUUUAAAUAUUGUGGAAAAAAAUAUGUUUCAAAUGCUGGUAGAAUGAUGAAGCAUCUUGCUCAAGAAUGUCAAAAUUGUGAUGAUGAAAUUUAAACAAAUUUUAUGG